UUGUUCAAAAAAGAAUUCAAAAGCUUUUAAUGUUAAUUGCCGACCCUAAACCGUCUCAAAUCACAACUAAUCACCUUUGCUUCCUCCGGGUCGUGUAGACAGUGAUCGGAGUUUGGUUUGACUUUCCUGUUUUUGCAUUGCUGUCAGGUUGUCUGUGAUACUGUCCACGGGCCGUAAGAGAGUUUGUUGAAGGAUUCCACGGGGUUGUGAAAGUAUCUUUGUUGCUGUUGCCAACUGGUCGGUGAAGUGUCCACGGGAUUUGCUGUGUGAGUGUCCACAGCCUGCGAGAAAACUUUGUUGAGGGAAUACACGGGCCGUGAAUAAGGGGUCAAGCAUCAACAUUGGCCGUGCAAGAGCUUCUGCGACUAGAAGAUUGUUGGUGGUUAAUGGCUGGAUUAUUGCUUCAACUUUUGGAUUGAUUUUACUAGAAAAAUUUUUAAAGCAAUUCAUUUUUCAUUAUGUGGAAUGCAGAUGGAUUCUAUGAUUGCAGGGGCAAAGUUUCGGGGCAACAAAUAGUGGAGUUGAGUUCCCACUUCUAUCUUUUUGGAACAAGCUGAUGAGAGAACAGAUACAUGCUGAUAAGUUGCUCUUACGGGAUUCUUGUUUCCGAUUGGUGAGGAUGCUGAGUCUGUCUUCUUCGUCCCCUCGAAGUGAAAGAAUCCGCUGAUCGGUCGUUUUGCCGAAGAUGAGUAUUGCAUCUUUAAGGAGAAGAUAAGCAGGCUGAUGCAGGAGGAUGCUAAGUUUGGAGGCCCUGUUGUUAGUAGGGGAUUCAAUUGGCCAAGGAGGUCUGUUGUCCAGAACAAGGUGAGCGAAGAUGGUAAGGAGGAUGAUGUACAUGUGAAGGAUGUUGAGGUUAUGAGGGGUAAGGGUCAGAAGAAAAUCGACGUGGACCCCAAAAAGAGUGAUAAGGAGACUGAAGAUGAUGACAGUAACAAUCAUUCUGAGGACAGUGAUAAUGGUCCUAGGGAGGGUAAAAUGGCUGCUCAGGACAGUGGAAAGAAUGUUGCAUCUGACGAUGAUAGAAGCUCUGUAUCUAGCUUAGAAGGUGAUGAUCUACCAGACGUUUCUAUGGCUAAUAAAAAAGUAGGUGACUCAGGUGAUGAUCAAGGAUUGUCGCCCAUUGCAAUGGGAGCCGCCCCUGUGUCAUAGGAGUUGGUUGUCUACGAGGCCCCAAAUCGUUUUCUAGAUGAGUUGAGAGAGAAGGUUUAUCUAUAAUGUGUUACCAUAAAUGAUGGUUCGUCAGUCAUGAUGCUUGAACAUUCUAAGGUGAUUGCGAUUGGGUUUGACCACCACUUGCCUCGGACAGAUACCACAAGUGCAAAACUUGGACUUUGGAUAAGCAACCAUCUUAUGCAUUUUGUCAUUGAGGUUCCUAAUGCUGAAGGUGCGGACGAUCAAUUGGAAGAAUGUGUUUGCCUCAGCCCGUACAUGAUGGUAAUCGUUGCCCGAAACUACAUUGUUCCAAUUAUUUAUUCGUAUCAUUAAUUUCGAUGUUUGACUUAAAAAAUUUGGGUGUUUAGUUGCAUCUGAUCUUAGACACUAUUAGUCAGGGAAGUACUGACCGCUUCAGGGACUGAAAGACCAUUCUUACUUUAGGCACAUUCGGAUAGCGAACAAAAAUCUGAUUAUGGGACCCUUCUUGAGGAACGAGCAUUGGUGGGCUUAUGCACUUGAUCGUAAGAAUAAAAUAGUCUACGUGAUUAACUCCAUACGCCGAAGGUGCCUGACUUUUUAAAGGAAGUAACUAGACUCCCUGGUGGUGAGUACGAUAUUUGAACUUUGUCAACUACAACACUUGUUAGGUUAAUCUCUAUUUGUGUUACGAUUGUGCUUGACUACAUGCAGUUGAGAAGGCAGGAACAGAUCAUCUCUUUGGUAGACUCUGGCCACGUUCCUACUGAUUAUGGACUUCAUUGCAUUUAUACCCUUGUACCAAGGCAACACAACAGUGAUGACUGUGGAGCUUUUGUGUACAAGUACCUUCAACACUGCCCACCUGAAACCUUAUUGCCGGGUUACAACUAGGUUAGGACACCGUCAUUUUGUUGAGCUUCAUUAUGAUUAGAACUGUUGUUGAUGUCGAAUUUUGGUGACAAACCUCGAACUCAACUACAACAUUGUGCUUUUUUAAUUUUUCAUCUCCCAUUUUUCCAGGAGCAAGUUCUGACUUUCCAAAAAGAUCUCCUCCUAUCCUACAGUCUGAGUGGGUUAAACACUAACCAGGAUGUACUCCUUGGGCAUGUGGAGGAGUACUUUCAUGUGGCCUGUUCAAAAGGAAUAUUCAUUUAAGUCCCCCUUAAAGUGCAUGUCAACCAGUCGGGGAUAGCCGCUCGCAUAAAGAAUAGGGCGAGACAAAGUAACAUCAGACGGAAGUUAGAUCCCAACUCGCUGGGUUUGGUGUCUUCGACGAAGGAAAAACCCCCUCCCAGGAGGUAUAAGUAAAGUUGUUUUAUCUUGUGCUCUCUGCUACACUCACAGUGUUAUGAUGAUAGAGUCACCAUGUAUAGUAACAUUGUCUUUUGAAUAUUUCAUGAACUUCGAUGUAAGUUACAAGGUAUUUAGUCAAUGUAUAUAUCACGAACCCUUUUUCUCUGAUCAGUGUCAUCCAUGACGAGGCAUAAGAGAUCUAGUCUGUUUGAAUUGUUUUAGAUUGAAAUCGAACAGGUUGGAAAAUAUCCUGUAAACUGGAACAAUUCAUUUAACAUUUUGAUAAAUAUACCGCUAGUUUGACUUCAC
Arachis ipaensis is the source of this 2736-nucleotide non-coding RNA. The record is from RefSeq and is a predicted model, not a curated record. NCBI's taxonomy places the organism in Eukaryota, Viridiplantae, Streptophyta, Magnoliopsida, Fabales, Fabaceae.